This 458-nucleotide ribosomal RNA is filed under the name uncultured bacterium. RNAcentral describes it as "partial 16S ribosomal RNA". It matches the Rfam family "Bacterial small subunit ribosomal RNA", at positions 338 to 795 of the family's 1533-position model. The record is from RNAcentral.
CCUACGUGAGGCAGCAGUGAGGAAUAUUGGUCAAUGGGCGAGAGCCUGAACCAGCCAAGUCGCGUGAGGGAGUACUGCCCUAUGGGUUGUAAACCUCUUUUGUCGGGGGGAAAAAGCCGGACGUGUCCGGCUGUGAGAGUACCCGAAGAAAAAGCAUCGGCUAACUCCGUGCCAGCAGCCGCGGUAAUACGGGGGAUGCGAGCGUUAUCCGGAUUUGUUGGGUUUAAAGGUUACGCAGGCGGAUUAUUAAGUCAGCGGUCAACUCGUGGGGCUAAACCCCAUCAAGCCGUUGAAACUGGGGAUCUAGAGUGUGCGUGAGGUAUGCGGAAUGCGUGGUGUAGCGGUGAAAUGCAUAGAUAUCACGCAGAACUCCGAUUGCGAAGGCAGCAUACCGGCGCCCAACUGACGCUGAAGCACGAAAGCGUGGGUAUCGAACAGGAUUAGAUACCCCUGUAGUC